This 115-nucleotide ribosomal RNA is filed under the name Lepisosteus oculatus (spotted gar). The record is from RNAcentral. Lineage: Eukaryota; Metazoa; Chordata; Actinopteri; Semionotiformes; Lepisosteidae.
CCCAGCAGCCAUUUCACCCUGCAACUCAAAACUGGCAGCCCACUGAAGCUCAGCAGGUGUGAGCCUGGUCAGUACCUGGAUGGGAGACCUCCUGGGAAAAACUUCGCUGCUGGAA